Molecule: transfer RNA, 72 nt
Filed under: Glarea lozoyensis 74030
Lineage: Eukaryota; Fungi; Ascomycota; Leotiomycetes; Helotiales; Helotiaceae
Also listed under: 1 other name
Description: tRNA-Trp (CCA) (tRNA-Trp-CCA-1-1, tRNA-Trp-CCA-1-2)
Rfam family: tRNA
About the family: Transfer RNA (tRNA) molecules are approximately 80 nucleotides in length. Their secondary structure includes four short double-helical elements and three loops (D, anti-codon, and T loops).
Source: RNAcentral
GGGGGAUUGGUGUAGUGGUAGCAUGUUGGAUUCCAGACCCAUUGGUCGUCGGUUCAAAUCCGGCAUCCCUCA